AAAGUCGUGAUUCCUCGUAGGGAGCGCGAUCAUCAUCAUCAUCGUCAAAGCGAGAGGAACGCGUUCUGUCUCUAUCUCUGUCUCUCUCUCUACUAUCACCUCUUGCCUCCUUCAAAGCGUGCUCGUCCUCCAACAAAGAAGUUAUUUCUUUAGCCUUGGUACGAACGUUUUGGCCUUGAUCAUGACCAUUGUCGUCAACGUAGACAAACUCACGCAACG
Non-coding RNA from Schizosaccharomyces pombe (fission yeast), 219 nucleotides. Lineage: Eukaryota; Fungi; Ascomycota; Schizosaccharomycetes; Schizosaccharomycetales; Schizosaccharomycetaceae. The record is from the annotation of a GenBank genome assembly.